GACGAGGUGGCCGAGUGGUUAAGGCGUGAGACUGCUAAUCUCAUGUGCUAUGCACGCGAGGGUUCGAAUCCCUUCCUCGUCG
Molecule: non-coding RNA, 82 nt
Organism: Daphnia pulex (common water flea)
Lineage: Eukaryota; Metazoa; Arthropoda; Branchiopoda; Diplostraca; Daphniidae
Source: Rfam